GUCCGGCGCUCCAGAUCGGCUCGGCUCUGCCCCCCAUGCGCCCAGCGGCCCACCCCAUCUGACCGUCUCUCCUCGCCCCCGCACCAGUGACUCGACUUCCUCCGCGGACCGCCACCGCCACCUCACCCACCACCUCGCCGGAGAUCACGAGAGGAGCCUCGCCGCUGCCCCCCCGCCCGCCAUGGGGGAUGCCGCCUCCGGCCGCGGCCACGUUGUCUACCCUCCCCGCUCCGCCGAGGACAUCUUCAAGGACUACCGCGCCCGCCGCUCCGCCAUCCUCCGGGCCCUCACCCACGACGUCGAGGACUUCUACGCGCAGUGCGAUCCAGAGAAGGAGAACCUCUGCCUGUACGGGUACGCGAACGAGGCCUGGGAGGUGGCGCUGCCGGCGGAGGAGGUGCCAACGGAGCUGCCGGAGCCCGCGCUGGGGAUCAACUUCGCGCGCGACGGCAUGAAUCGCCGCGACUGGCUCGCGCUCGUCGCCGUCCACUCCGACUCAUGGCUCCUCUCCGUCGCUUUCUACUACGCUGCUCGGCUCAAUCGGAAUGACCGUGGUCCAAGACUGCCAGUGUGGACUUGUGCUAGUUGAAGGCUGAGUUCAAUGCUUAUCUAAUACCAACUUUCAGAAGGUGCUUUACACAGGGAAAAAUAUUAUUUUGUGGAAGCUGCGAAUCUGACUAGUUUUCCACUUGUGCAUCAAUAUUUUGUCUGAGCUGCUUCAAACAUUUUAUGAGAUCUUCGGUUAAUUAGUGGUGUGUCCUGGUUCCUGGAUACGUCCUACUCAGAUUACCAUUCUACUGUAAGGAAAUACCUGACUUUUUGUUAAUGAAAGGCGUUUCAUGCUUAGAACCUGACCAUCUUGUUAUGGAUCUGGAGAAUCAGGACUUUUUGUGCCAAUUGUAGAUACUGAAUUGCACUUGUGCUGAUAUUCUCUGUUAUCUUUCCAACACCUCUUUUCCUGCACACCGCCCAAUUCGUGAAAGCAAAUCUCCGUCUUAUUCUGAGAAGCCUCUUGAGUCUACAUCUUGUAUAGGAACUUGAUUUUUCUAUUUUUUCUAGAUAUUUUGAGGUCAAAACAGUGAUUAGCCCCCAGUUUCAUUACACCACUUUUGCAGAUUAUUUUCUUUUUUUGCAAAGGAAUCCAACAAAUAAAGUGUGAUUUCAUGAAAGCUGUGUUUCAUCAAUACAAACUAAAAUAGAAUAGACUUUUCCAUGAUCAUGCUAAAAUAUGUGCAAUGCUGAUGUGCUAUGAAGCCUAGGGUGGAGUUGAUUAUAUUUAUUGAAAAGGAAAGCUUAUGUGACUCGAGAGGAUUGUGGAAAAAUAACACAAGGAGCAUAUAUCUGACAUCCAUGACCUGUCAUCUUAUAUAACUUCUGUAUACUUGAUUUUUAUGGAUAUAGAGUUCUCUCAGUGCUGCAGUUGUGGUUUCUAUAUUAAUUUCCAUCAGAAAUGAUGUGUAUUCAUGCACAUGGCCGUGGUAUUUUAGAGCCUGCAAUAUGCAGUUCUUUAUUUUCCAUGCAUUACUCAUAUGAAUACUGUAAUCUGUGCAAAUACUGUACCAGCACCUUGGAGGAUAGCUGUCUUAAAUCAAAGUGAACCCACACUAGCUUGGAUUUUUUUUCCUGUUGCACCAAGAGUAGCGCCUCAGAUUAGGCCUUCUGAUGCCUUAUGUGGAUUCACACUGUCAAUAAUCUGUUUUUCCCCCAAUUCUUAUGUGUCAAUUCUUUCAAUGAUGUUAAUAUUAGCACUGUGAUUUUAGUAGUAUAAACAUAGCCUUUGAAUAAUUUUAUGUAAAUUUGAAAGGUUUGAUAUGCUGCAUUGCCAUUAGUUUGUUUCAUUCUCUCUAUUCGUAAGAUGGCCAAUGUUGCUGAUAUCUAACUGUCUUCACUGUCAUCCAAUAGGAAACGUUUAUUUGGUAUGAUUAACGAAUUGCAAACUGUUUUUGAAGUUGUCUCCGGUGCGAGACAACAACAAUCUAAGGAGAGGUCCAGUAUGGACAAUGGUGGGAGGGCCAAACCCUCAGUAAAGAUAGAAAAUAACGGAAAAGCAUCAGAAGAUGCAUACGGAGAAGAUGACAGUGAUCACGGUGAAACUCUAUGUGGUACCUGUGGUGGUAUAUACAGCGCAGAUGAGUUCUGGAUUGGGUGCGACAUCUGCGAGAGGUGGUAUCACGGCAAGUGCGUCAAGAUAACUCCCGCCAAGGCAGAAAGCAUAAAACAUUACAAGUGCCCGAGCUGCAGCUCCAAGAGGGCUAGGCAGUAGCAAAGCUUAUGGAUGCUUCAGAGUGCUGGAUGUAUGCUGCAGUGGUGGCAGUGCAAAGUUUGCCUGCAGGAGAAGCUCCAUUUACAAGAUUAGCUAUCUUCGUUGUACCUUAUGCUUACUUUACCUAUGAUGAAGCUAAUGUGAGGAACGAUGAGACAUUUGACAACCAGAGGCACCUGAGUUGAAUGCCCCUAGAUAAAUGGGGUGAAAGAAGAGGAAACCUGCGUGCUGUAUUGAAUAGAGCUUGUUUAUGUCACCUUUACGGGUCGUUCUUUUUUAUGAGGAAUGGCAGCAGCCUUGAAUUGUAAUACUGCGUAGACUCGAUGUGUUGGCAGAAUUCCUGGCUUAUGCUUGUAACCCACUUACAUUUCUAUUCUCUGCUGCAUAAGGACCUACUGCUGCAACUA
This is an RNA transcript of Panicum virgatum (switchgrass), 2670 nucleotides long. It is a transcript of the gene named PHD finger protein ALFIN-LIKE 1-like, with no coding region annotated. The record is from RefSeq and is a predicted model, not a curated record. The transcript has 5 exons. Lineage: Eukaryota; Viridiplantae; Streptophyta; Magnoliopsida; Poales; Poaceae.